UAGUCCACUGAAAUAGGGCCAGACAUCCUAAAUUUGGGGUAGGGAGGAGGAAAAUUGAUCUAAGGGUAAAAAGCUAAUAAAACUGACAAAGAUUAUUCCUGGCAUAAGAAGCAAGAAGAAAA
Molecule: long non-coding RNA, 122 nt
Filed under: Polistes fuscatus (common paper wasp)
Lineage: Eukaryota; Metazoa; Arthropoda; Insecta; Hymenoptera; Vespidae
Description: uncharacterized LOC122518320
Source: RNAcentral